RNAcentral lists this ribosomal RNA (445 nucleotides) under uncultured bacterium. RNAcentral's name for it is "partial 16S ribosomal RNA". It matches the Rfam family "Bacterial small subunit ribosomal RNA", at positions 354 to 796 of the family's 1533-position model. The record is from RNAcentral.
GUGAGGAAUAUUGGUCAAUGGGCGAGAGCCUGAACCAGCCAAGUCGCGUGAAGGAAGAAGGAUCUAUGGUUCGUAAACUUCUUUUGCAGGGGAAUAAAGUGCAGGACGUGUCCUGUUUUGUAUGUACCCUGAGAAUAAGGAUCGGCUAACUCCGUGCCAGCAGCCGCGGUAAUACGGAGGAUCCGAGCGUUAUCCGGAUUUAUUGGGUUUAAAGGGUGCGUAGGUGGUUUGAUAAGUCAGCGGUGAAAGUUUGCAGCUUAACUGUAAAAAUGCCGUGUAAACUGUCGGACUUGAGUGUAAAUGAGGGAGGCGGAAUGCGUGGUGUAGCGGUGAAAUGCAUAGAUAUCACGCAGAACUCCGAUUGCGAAGGCAGCUUACUAAGCUACAACUGACACUGAAGCACGAAAGCGUGGGGAUCAAACAGGAUUAGAUACCCCAGUAGUCC